UGCAGUCGAACGAGUUCUGAUUAUUGAAAGGUGCUUGCAUCUUGAUUUAAUUUUGAACGAGUGGCGGACGGGUGAGUAACACGUGGGUAACCUGCCCUUAAGUGGGGGAUAACAUUUGGAAACAGAUGCUAAUACCGCAUAAAUCCAAGAACCGCAUGGUUCUUGGCUGAAAGAUGGCGUAAGCUAUCGCUUUUGGAUGGACCCGCGGCGUAUUAGCUAGUUGGUGAGGUAACGGCUCACCAAGGCAAUGAUACGUAGCCGAACUGAGAGGUUGAUCGGCCACAUUGGGACUGAGACACGGCCCAAACUCCUACGGGAGGCAGCAGUAGGGAAUCUUCCACAAUGGACGCAAGUCUGAUGGAGCAACGCCGCGUGAGUGAAGAAGGCUUUCGGGUCGUAAAACUCUGUUGUUGGAGAAGAAUGGUCGGCAGAGUAACUGUUGUCGGCGUGACGGUAUCCAACCAGAAAGCCACGGCUAACUACGUGCCAGCAGCCGCGGUAAUACGUAGGUGGCAAGCGUUAUCCGGAUUUAUUGGGCGUAAAGCGAGCGCAGGCGGUUUUUUAAGUCUGAUGUGAAAGCCCUCGGCUUAACCGAGGAAGUGCAUCGGAAACUGGGAAACUUGAGUGCAGAAGAGGACAGUGGAACUCCAUGUGUAGCGGUGAAAUGCGUAGAUAUAUGGAAGAACACCAGUGGCGAAGGCGGCUGUCUGGUCUGUAACUGACGCUGAGGCUCGAAAGCAUGGGUAGCGAACAGGAUUAGAUACCCUGGUAGUCCAUGCCGUAAACGAUGAAUGCUAGGUGUUGGAGGGUUUCCGCCCUUCAGUGCCGCAGCUAACGCAUUAAGCAUUCCGCCUGGGGAGUACGACCGCAAGGUUGAAACUCAAAGGAAUUGACGGGGGCCCGCACAAGCGGUGGAGCAUGUGGUUUAAUUCGAAGCAACGCGAAGAACCUUACCAGGUCUUGACAUCUUUUGAUCACCUGAAAGAUCAGGUUUCCCCUUCGGGGGCAAAAUGACAGGUGGUGCAUGGUUGUCGUCAGCUCGUGUCGUGAGAUGUUGGGUUAAGUCCCGCAACGAGCGCAACCCUUAUGACUAGUUGCCAGCAUUUAGUUGGGCACUCUAGUAAGACUGCCGGUGACAAACCGGAGGAAGGUGGGGAUGACGUCAAAUCAUCAUGCCCCUUAUGACCUGGGCUACACACGUGCUACAAUGGAUGGUACAACGAGUUGCGAGACCGCGAGGUCAAGCUAAUCUCUUAAAGCCAUUCUCAGUUCGGACUGUAGGCUGCAACUCGCCUACACGAAGUCGGAAUCGCUAGUAAUCGCGGAUCAGCACGCCGCGGUGAAUACGUUCCCGGGCCUUGUACACACCGCCCGUCACACCAUGAGAGUUUGUAACACCCGAAGCCGGUGGCGUAACCCU
This 1420-nucleotide ribosomal RNA is filed under the name Lacticaseibacillus rhamnosus. Its description in RNAcentral is "bacterial SSU rRNA". It matches the Rfam family "Bacterial small subunit ribosomal RNA". Lineage: Bacteria; Bacillati; Bacillota; Bacilli; Lactobacillales; Lactobacillaceae. The record is from RNAcentral.